Ipomoea triloba (trilobed morning glory) is the source of this 4118-nucleotide long non-coding RNA. RefSeq lists it as uncharacterized. The transcript is spliced from 5 exons. NCBI's taxonomy places the organism in Eukaryota, Viridiplantae, Streptophyta, Magnoliopsida, Solanales, Convolvulaceae. The record is from RefSeq and is a predicted model, not a curated record.
CAGAAAUCUAUAUAUAGAUACUGUUGAUUACCCAAAUUCCAAUUUCAUGUAAAAUAUAAAGGCUAAUUCCGGGUUGAGCUUAACUCUAUUUGGGGUUCCAACAGGGUUAGAUAUUGGUAGCGCAUAUUACAGCCUUACAGCUCAGCUAUGGAUUACACUAUUUGCAUCAGCAAUCCUACCUUGUGGGAAGUAUCUUAGGUAAAUCGUGAGGGCCCAGGCAACCUCUAGUCAGUCUUUGUUGGUGACUCUGUGCAGUGAUCCAUCUCAACACUCCCAAUGGCCCAAACUCGAGCCUGGGAGGAGGUGGAACCCCACUGGAGUGGGACUUUAGGUCAGUGGUCUACCACUUUAGUUAGCCCUGCUGGGCAACUUGAGAACUAGGAUGCUGGAAAUUAAAGAACUCUGUAGAAGAUGGUAGUUGCUUACUUGCUUUGCAUCCAAUAACCCGGGUUGUGGUAGAGCAUAUCUUAUACUGUCACAGACUCACAGGGAAAUGAUGGUUAGUUCCUGAUUAAGAUACCCAUGAUAUUUUUGCAUAUGUGGCUACUCGAUGCUGCAUUUCAAUGGAUCAAGAUUGAUCAUUACUUUUGAUGCAUGUAACAUGGUUUUGGGUCCAAUGAUCCAUUGACAAAAUGUCCAAUGAAUAUAAUCUAUCUGUCUUAUUCUGAUGCUGUGGAAUAUAAUGUGCACUGAUGCCAAAAGAAGUCAUCACUGAGCUAGAUGAGGAGCUUUCUUGAGAUCUUUUCUGGAUUUGGGUGAUUAUUGGUUUCAUAAUUAACAGGUAUAGGCGGAUCCUCUUUCUUUUGGUUUGAUGGUAUGUGUAAUUUUGAUUAUUAUAUUGUACCUAUUACCAUCUUCCUUUUCUGAAACACUCAUGAAUCCAAUAAAUUUUAGCGUUUAUUAGGUCUGAGUUGAGAAGUUCCAUAAUCUUGCCCUUAACAACACAUUAUCAACUUGUAAAUUUGCUUUGAGGCCUUUCAAUCCCCUCUUUUAGAUAAAACUAACAUAGAAAGUGAAAGGGCAUCUACAGUCAUUUUCGUGCUUUUGUGACUAGCAAGUAGACUUAUGUUUUGUGCUAUCUUUUCUUCUUCUUGUUCUGUUCUUUUUCCCAGUGAAAGACUUGCAAUAUAGGAGUAGAGCAGAAUAUAUCAUUAUCAAACAAUAAUUAGCACACCAAUAAGCACUAGCUAAACUUUAAUCCGCAUAACAUAAUAGGAAUAUGCAAAAUUCAAAAGCAACGGCUAUUUCUCUCAUCCCCAUUAGGAUGUGGAUUCUAGCUAGCUAGUAUUAUUGAAGAGAAUUGUCUACCUUUAGAGAAUAGUCACAGAUAAAGAAUAAAGGAUGAAGAUUUGUGCGAGGUUUUCAUUGUAUACAAUAUUCAUAUUGUCUGGUUAAAAACGGUGAUUAGGAUUCCUCCUUAUCGAAUCCCAGGUGAACAUGGAUGCAUUUUGUGCUUACAUGUUUUGGCUAUGUGUGUGGUUUCAGCAAGUAACGGCCCUAUAGGUCGUCAAACAACUUCAAAUGUGUCAAACCCUCUAACGACUGUUCCUACUUUUCCAUUAUGAACACUAUUUUCAGUUGUUUUACUACAACUUCAAAAAAAUGGAACUUUUACAGAUGCUCUAAACUAGACAGGGACCUAGCUAGAGUGAUUUUUAUAAUUUAGGCAUAUAGUCAUUAUACUCUAUUGUUAGGCCUUCAAUUUACUAAGAAUCCUAAGAUCUUUAAUUUAGAUAUUCAAUGAUCAAUUUUAUACUCUGUUCUGGCUGCAUUUAAAACAUAUUUCUUAGUCUAUUUAUACAUUGCAUUGUUUGAUUGAGUAUAAUAACAUAUUUAUUCAUUAAUCCACUUUAUUAUAUAGUUUUUAAUGAGCUUUCAUCUUAUUUUCUUUUCCCAUUGUAUCUUAACACAAUGCCCAGAUCUUUAUCAUCAAAUGAUGCUGCUUAUGAUUAUUCCAAGAAAUGUGGCACAAAACUAUGCUACAACAAAAUAGGGGAUCUUGAUAAAGAGAAAACAUAUUUGCCAAAUCUGCCACCGGGUAGAAAGUUCUGGUUUCAAACCCCACAACAAGGCAUGUUAACUAUAGCCUAUGUUGUGACAACCCUAGCCGAGUCGGUCAGACUGUUGGCUUGGUAACCACAAGGUUCCAAGUUCAACUCCUAGUAGGAGCAGCCUAUUUGCCUUCUUGGUUUGAGUUGAUCAACUGCCUUAGUUUGAUCUCUUAAAGGUAGAUACACAUUUUUUAUGUGGAAGGGGAACUUGAAGAUUGCCACUGAAUAUGCAUCUUCAGUUUGCUUUUGAAUUAUUGAGAAUCAAAUCAAAAAGGGAGAAUAGAUAUUGGGUUCAUGAGCAUUAUGAGGAAUCGAUUCCCACAUGGAUAACACCGAUGCUAUGCACACACUUGGUGAAUGCGAGUGUGCACAUCCAUAUCAUCUUUACGUGGCUAGCAUCCAUUUUACUGGCAGAUGGAGGUGAAAUAUCCUUGUGCUCGCCUUCUAAAUAUGAUUUUCUCUUGUAAGUUCUCCUAGAAAUGGAUAUAGAACGGAACAUAAUAUUAAAACCAUUUAAGAUGAAAUUGUGGGGAAUCUGUAAAGAGGGGAAUAUAACUGUGGACUUAUGCUCGGGAAAUAUGUGCCUCUCUCCAUGCAUAAUUCGUUUAACAGUUGACAAAACAUAAAUUAGAGAGCCAACACUCCUGUCCAUAUGGUACUCCUGUUAAGGAAACCAUUUGAAAGUAUAAACGUAUGAAAAGAUUAUUUAGGGCCCCACCAGUAAGGUCGUUUGAUGUAUAUAUAAACCAUCCCAACUCAUUCACCAAAAGCCACCAGUUUCAGCAAGCAAUUCUUCUGUUUAAAGCUGUGUAAGGCCAGUGCUCUGCACCUUGUUCUUCCAAUCUUCCAUUUUUGUAGGUAAGGCAUUAUUAUUAGUGUUUUUUCUUAUGCAGUUUAUAUAAUUUCUUCAAUCUGGAAGUACACACUUCAUUCUUUCGGUUCAUACACUUGCCACAAUUUUGGAUUGGAAGAUUGAUGCAAACUAUUUUCUAGGAUCCAACUAUUCAACUUUGAUCAAUAACAAGAUUAAUGUGUGAAUUCUAGUAUUCCAUCAUUCACUUUGACAUGUCAGAAGGCUUUGCUUUUCAGAAAGAUGUGAUUAUUUUCCGAUGCACCUGAUAACUAAUGAAUACUACAAUCAUUAUUCUAUCUUGUUGCAUUUUUCUUUAAAAAUCCUGUUUGGUUUUGAAUAAAUAUACUUCGAACCUUUUGUUCUUGCCAUAUGUUUUAUUAUUUGAAUGUUCAAAUUUUCCAGAAACCAAGACAGUGAAUGAACCAAGAAGGAGAUUGGAUCUGUGCCGCUUGUCAACACAUAAAUUUUAAGAAACGAGAUGCAUGCCAUCGAUGCAAUUGUCCUAAGUAUGCUUCUGAAGCUGAUGCUGCUUUUUAUGGACGUAAUAAAUCAGAGGUCUUGCCCGGGGACUGGUACUGCAAUGCCUGUUGUGCUCACAACUAUGCAAGCCGACCGAAUUGCUACAGAUGUGGAGCCUCGAAAAGUGGCUAUUAUGGCCUUGGGGGUGGAAUGAUAACACCGGGAAGUUAUGGAUAUGAUGCAAGUGUCCCUCCGGGAUAUAAGAAAGGUGACUGGAUUUGCAACAGACAUGGAUGUGGUUGGCACAAUUAUGCCAGCAGAACGGAAUGUUAUAAAUGCAGGAAUCCUCGGGAUUUCAGUGAGCCAUCUUCCAUGUGAUUCGGGAGAUGAUCUCUAAAGAAAGUAAUUAAGGAAGAGAGGCAUAAUAUCCUAGAAUUACUAAGAAUCCAAAAACCCUUUCUUUCUUUUCUAUUUUCUCAUGUAUCUCUUGCCUUUUCUCAGUUGAAUAAUCUCUGACCAAUUUGCACUAGGAUGGUUUCUUACUAUAUUGUUGUAUGGUGCAAAAAAAAAGUCACUUGAAUGAAAUCCCCUUAUAUUUUCCACUGUCUUGUAUUUGAUGCUUCAAAUAUUCAAACUUUUAUAAUUGUGUGGCACCUUUUGUUGAUUAGUAAUGUGUAGGCUGUAACAUAUAACUGUAAAGAAAACUGCUUGGCAGUGUCAUUUUUAUUCAUGGAAAAAAAUGAUGUGUUCACCAA